RNAcentral lists this transfer RNA (62 nucleotides) under Leptocorisa lepida. Its description in RNAcentral is "tRNA-Ala". Lineage: Eukaryota; Metazoa; Arthropoda; Insecta; Hemiptera; Alydidae. The record is from RNAcentral.
GGGGGUAUAGUUAAUAAUAAUAUCUAAAUUGCAAUUAGAAGGAGCUACAAUAGCUAUCCUCA